GUGCUUGCUUCAGCAGCACAUAUACUAAAAUUGGAAUGAUACAGAGAAGAUUAGCAUGGCCCCUGAGCAAAAAUGACACAAAAAUUCUGAAAAAAAAAAAAAAAGCCU
This is a small nuclear RNA of Piliocolobus tephrosceles (Ugandan red Colobus), 108 nucleotides long. NCBI's taxonomy places the organism in Eukaryota, Metazoa, Chordata, Mammalia, Primates, Cercopithecidae. The record is from Ensembl.